This 85-nucleotide antisense RNA is filed under the name Dichanthelium oligosanthes. RNAcentral describes it as "Antisense RNA which regulates isiA expression". It matches the Rfam family "Antisense RNA which regulates isiA expression", at positions 103 to 187 of the family's 187-position model. Lineage: Eukaryota; Viridiplantae; Streptophyta; Magnoliopsida; Poales; Poaceae. The record is from Rfam by way of RNAcentral.
CUUCAAGUACUAGAAGAAAAGCACCUAGACCUAACAAAAUUAAGUGAAUGCCCAAAAUUGUAGUCAUUUUAUUUUUAUCUUUCCA